AGUGAACGCUGGCGGUAGGCCUAACACAUGCAAGUCGAACGGCAGCACAGUAAGAGCUUGCUCUUACGGGUGGCGAGUGGCGGACGGGUGAGGAAUACAUCGGAAUCUACUUUUUCGUGGGGGAUAACGUAGGGAAACUUACGCUAAUACCGCAUACGACCUACGGGUGAAAGCAGGGGAUCUUCGGACCUUGCGCGAGUGAAUGAGCCGAUGUCGGAUUAGCUAGUUGGCGGGGUAAAGGCCCACCAAGGCGACGAUCCGUAGCUGGUCUGAGAGGAUGAUCAGCCACACUGGAACUGAGACACGGUCCAGACUCCUACGGGAGGCAGCAGUGGGGAAUAUUGGACAAUGGGCGCAAGCCUGAUCCAGCCAUACCGCGUGGGUGAAGAAGGCCUUCGGGUUGUAAAGCCCUUUUGUUGGGAAAGAAAAGCAGCAGGUUAAUACCCCGCUGUUCUGACGUUACCCAAAGAAUAAGCACCGGCUAACUUCGUG
This 492-nucleotide ribosomal RNA is filed under the name uncultured bacterium. RNAcentral describes it as "partial 16S ribosomal RNA". It matches the Rfam family "Bacterial small subunit ribosomal RNA", at positions 29 to 507 of the family's 1533-position model. The record is from RNAcentral.